RNA transcript from Biomphalaria glabrata, 1408 nucleotides. It is a transcript of the gene named protein-L-isoaspartate(D-aspartate) O-methyltransferase-like, with no coding region annotated. Lineage: Eukaryota; Metazoa; Mollusca; Gastropoda; Planorbidae. The record is from RefSeq and is a predicted model, not a curated record. The transcript has 9 exons.
UCAAGUUGGCAACAUUGCACCGGAACUAGAAAGUGUAGACAACUUCGCUUUCGAAAUAGAGAACGUCAACAACAGAAAUCAAGACAAACAAAUUUAGAGUCGGCUACAUUAUACUGAUUAUAGAGUUCUAGUUCUGGUCUAAGUUUAUCUAGAUUUCAUUGAGAACAACUGGAUGUGUAUAAUGUGGACUGAUGUCUAUGUGGAUCAGAAGACUUAGGCUAUUCUCUUCAACAAUACUGUUUUUUGUUCUCCCCAAAAACAUAAUGGCUUGGCGUUCAAGUGGCAAUAGUAACUCACAGCUGGUUGAUAACUUGGCAGCCAAUGGCAUCAUCAAGUCAGACAGAGUGAUUCAUGCUAUGAAGAAAGUGGAUAGAGCUAACUUCUGCAAAGCAAAUCCUUACAAUGAUUCACCUCAGAGCAUUGGUUAUGCAGUGACAAUAAGUGCCCCUCACAUGCAUGCUCAUGCACUGGAGCUUCUGUCUGAACAUUUGACUGAGGGAAGCAAGGCUCUAGAUGUUGGCUCUGGAAGUGGUUACCUCACAGCCUGCAUGGCUCUAAUGGUUGGCAAAACUGGAAAGGCUAUUGGGAUUGAUCACAUCCAAGAGCUUGUGGAUGAUUCCAAAAGAAAUAUUGAAAAAGAUCUCAUCACUAGAGUCUUGCUGGAGACUGACCGUCUUCAGUUGGUUGUGGGAGAUGGGAGACAAGGCUACCUUCCAGAAGCCCCAUUUGAUGCUAUACAUGUUGGAGCAGCUGCUCCUGACCUGCCAGAGGCUCUGUUGGAACAGUUGAAGCCAGGUGGACGUUUAAUUAUUCCAGUUGGUCCAGCUGGGGAAAAUCAAAGUCUCUUACAGGUUGACAAGUUGCAAGAUGGCUCUAUUGUGAAGAAGAACUUGAUGGGAGUCUUGUAUGUGCCACUCACAAGCAAAGAGAAGCAAUGGCCCAGCCUCUGAGAGCUCCAGUACAGCAGAGGAGAACAGAAUUUGGCAGUAAAGCUUGACUGAGAAGAAUAGGUUUAUUGAAAAAAAAAAAAGGAAGAAAUUUGAGCUGUGAACUGAAGGCCUAAUGCAUCAGAAACUACACUCUUUAUGUGUGUCCUAUCUUAUGGCUAUAACAUGUACAGACAUUGUUCAUUCUGCAUACUGCACCUACACAUGCUAAAUCAUUGACUCACUGUACUUUGAAUGGUUAUUGUUCCUGCAAUGUUGACAAAUGCGUUUGUAUUUACUAUUUAUUUCAGUUGGAGUUGGCCCCCCUGCCCAGUGAGCAGAAUGCCUUAUAUGAUUUUAGUUCUGCAACCAUUUUUCUUACACCUUUUAGGCUAAAGCUUGAAAUUCAAUGUUAAUUUUACCAUGCUUUGGUCAUUGGCUAAUAAACUUGUUUUCUUACAAUAAAAAAACAACCCACCAAA